UUUGAUUUCUCUUCGUAUCUUGGUUCUCAUUGUUCUUCAAUUUGAUAUGGUCUUUCAUCGCUCUUUUCAGCGUCUGAAGAAAUGCUUCAAUUUCUGCAGUAACCCUUCUCAUCAGUUUUUUCAUUCUUGGUCUUCUCUUCGCAUGCGAUUUUGUUGCUAAAAAUUCCUGGAGUAUUAUUGAAAAUUUUCGAUUAAUUUUUCUAUUUAGAUAUGUCUAUGGACGCCCCAGAUGGAAAAGAGGUUAAGGGAAGCCGAAGGCCGGAUACGCGUUGCUCUCGAUCUCAAAGCCGGUCUUCAUCCUCUCAAGGUUUCUCUUUCAUUAUUCUCUCUCUUUUUUGUUUUUUAAUUUGUACUCCUUUCUAUUAAGUAUUCAUCAAGUGCGUGUGGAAUCGAAAAUUUAUUUUUCUCCUGGACAGCUUUGCGAAUUUUUUUUGCAAGUAUUUGUUGAUUUGUUCUGCACAUAAGUAGGCAUUUGUUUUAUUUUUCAUAAUAUACGGUGUUGCUUUUUGCAAUUCAAUAAACUCUUUACUUUGUGGCUACUUUCUUGAAUUUUGGGAGUUGGCGAGGUCAAGCUUAUGUAAAUAUGACUGUUAAUAAUCCAAAAAAAAUUGUCCUCUAGCAAUUUUGACUAGAGGAGGAGAUUGUAUGACCUCGGCGAAAGAAUUUAAUGAGAAUGCAGAUGGAAUGAAUGCUAAUAAUUAGAAGAAAGAUUAGUUAUCCUUAAGCAUACAAGAAAGUGCAGCAACAUUGGAACUCUUUGAAUAGUGGUAGUUUCUGAAAUGGAAUUGGUGAUUUCUUAUUGAGGACCAUAUAUAUAUGAAUUAUCCAAUGGGUGGAGUUAAUCAAAUGAGGGGAUUUAACUCCAGUGCCUAAAGAGAUGGGACAAAAUAUACCAUUCCUAAGUCCAAACAGAACUUGGAAAACUGCUGUUACUACAGAGGAUGACUCAUAAGUCAUUAUAGGUUAGGUGGCAAUCAAUUCAAGAAUUAAUCUCUCUUAUUAGUUCUUUUUCUCUUACUCCUUUGGAUUUAAAAAUAGAGUUUCUCAGUCAUGUGUGGUUGGCCUUUUGCCAAACCUAUCAAGAUAAUACUUCCCUGCAUAAGAUGGUCCAAAAGUUAGUGAAGUCCUUGAGGAGAACUGAUACAGAGCCCGUUUGGAUUGACUUAAAAAAGUGGCUUUUAAGCAUGAUGCUUAAAAACACUUUUUAAGUACUGGAGCUUAUUUUAUAAAUAAACAGUUACGUGUUUGGAUAAAAGUGCUUAAGCUGAAAAAAAAUUAUUGAAGUGUUUGGUAAAUAAGUGCUGGUAAGCACAUUUUUUCUGUUAAAAUGACUAAAAUAUCCUUAAAGUUGUAGUAUGUUAUUUUUGGAGACUUUCCUUCAAAAAAAUUGGAAAAAAUUAUUUGUGUUUAGAUGAGUUUUCAUUUGAAGUUACUAUAUUUAGUGCUAUAUAUUUGUUUCAACUUUUUCAAAUAUUUUGUAUUUUAGUAUUUGUACAAAACAAACAAUUAUGACAUUGUUUGUUUGACAAUAUAAAAGAAACGAAUUUCAAGAAAAUAAUUAUUAGUAAAUAUACCAUCAAACCAGGAGGAGUAAAAUAAAAAUGCUGAUUAUUUACGUGAGAAGAAAUCAUGAAAAUAAAAUCAGAGCACAAAAAUUAAAAAAUAGGGAAAGGCAACAAAAGAUAUGCCAUAGAAAUGACACUAGAAAUGGUUGACAAAAAUGGGAACAAUGAAGGGAGAAGAAGGAAAAGAAUGUUUGGGCUUUUAGCUUCGAAGGGUUUUGGGAAAAUAAAAGAUUAUUAGGGAUAAAGGAGUAAAUUAAAUGGUUAAACCCAACCAGUUUUUAAGCUAUAAAAAAUAAGUUGAGAUUCACUAACUUGUUGUUUUUAGCUUGUUUAGGCUUAAAAUCACUUGGCUUAAAAACUAUUUUUAAAGUUACCAAACACUCCAACCAGCUAAAAAGUGUUUUUAAACUUAUUUGACCAGCUUUUAACCCAAUCCAAAAGCCUUGAUAGUUUUUCACUGUAAAUUGCUAGACAGUUCUUGCUAGCUUGUACUUUCGUAGUAGCUUGUAGCCUUGUACGAUGCUUAGCAGGAGUUUGCCAGGUGCCAUCUUAUGCAGCUACUUUUCUAGAUGGUUAUCUAGCAUAUACGAAAAUUGUCAGGCACCAUAAAACAUAUUGGGUAAAAGCUUAAUGUUCAUAAAAACCCGAAAAAUCGAACCAAAUCGAAAAUCAAACCGAUCAAAAAAAUCGAUACUUUUUGGUUUGGUUUGAUUUUGGUUUUGAAUUUUAAAAACCGAUCAAAUUAGGUUUGGUUUUGAUUUUAAUCCGAAAAAAAACCGAACCAAACCGACUAUAGGAUUAGCUAUUUCAAAUUUAUUAUUACAUUUAUAUAAAUGUAUAUUUUUAUACAAAGUUUCAAAAAAUUUAUGGUAAAUGUUAAUAGUUUGCACUUUUAGUAUAGUUCUUUACCUUUACAUUCUAGUUUGAUCGGUAGUUUUCUUUUGUUAAGUGUAAGAAUCCAUUUCGUAUUAAAAAUAAUAUAUUUUUAAUUGAGUCCUUAGAAUAUUCAUCACUAUUUGAUUAAAUUAUCAUCAAUAUAUCUUGGUAAAUAAUAGAUUUCUCAAAGGGCAAUUGAUUUGAUAGUGUUACAUUGAAAAUGUGGUCGCCGGAAUAUGUGUUUGGUAGUGUAUGUCUUAUAUUAUAUUUAAGAAAAAACCAACAAAUAACCGAAAAUUCGACAAAACCCGACAUAAACCGAAUCGAGGAAAAACCGACUUAAUUGAUUUGGUUUGGUUCUAAUAUUUGAAAAAUCGAUUUACUUGAUUUGGUUUCUUUUUAGGAAAAAUCCGAUCCAAAACGAACCAUGAACACCCCUAGUUCUUGAUAAUUUUGUAAGGAAAACUGCUGUUACUACUGAGCUUUCUUCAAAGUAGUGCCACACGCUAUUGAGAAGUCAUUUGUUUGUUACCCAAAAAGAAAGCUAUAAACGGAAAAUGUGCAUACCUCAUUUUUCUCUUUUAUUCAUUUUUUCAUCAAACAAAGAUUGGGAUAAACACGCAAUAAGCCUUCAAGGGGGUUGCAAUCCCCUGUUCAGGAUAAUAAUUGCUUGUUCUUUAAAGUCAGAUAACAGAAUUUUUGCUAAAAACAUAAAAUCGAUAAUAUUAAAAUGUUUAAGAUUUUAAUUGGAGAUGAAUUUUGCAACCACUAACACUUGCAAAACUGUCGUUAAAUUUUGGAGUUGCUGAAGUCUUUACAACUAAUUGCGCAUGAUAUGGUAAAAAUUUAUGUCCUUGAAACUUCAAUUGACGGGGAGAACAUUGUCCUGUAGAAAUUUGAAUGGUUAAAGUUUGGAAUAUCUAUUAGUGUAUUGAUGUGGGUGCAAGAAUAUAGCUACGCUUCUCAUAUUUGAUCAAACAAAAUAUAGAGAUUCCACACUCAUGCAGCGCUUAUUAUAGCUACGCAGAACAAUUGAUUUUGGAUCAGUAGACCAAUUCGAAGGUGCAUUUGUCAACAAUGAUCAAAAUGGAGAAGGGGUAUGUCCUGACUUAUAUUUCAUACACAGAUCUGACUGAUGUUCAUACGCACAAGGAAGAAGAUUCUCAUUAAAAAUGUUCGAGUUCAUUUUUCUUUUAUUGGGAUUAAAAAACUGAAGACCGACAAAUCUUAUGCCAUAGAAGCGGACAAGAACAACAAUAACAACAACCCAGUAAAAUUCUACUAGUGGGGUCUGGGGAGGGUAGUGCGUGUUGUGAUUCUCNNN
Molecule: long non-coding RNA, 3765 nt
Filed under: Nicotiana tabacum (common tobacco)
Lineage: Eukaryota; Viridiplantae; Streptophyta; Magnoliopsida; Solanales; Solanaceae
Description: long non-coding RNA (NTAB_LNC016105)
Source: RNAcentral